UUACACAGCUGAGCUCAAAAACAAACAUCAGAAAAAAACAGGUGGCACAAAGCACUCAGCUACUGCUAAAGUAUCAAUAACAGUGCAAAAAGCCUGGGGCGCCUGGGUGGCUCAGUCAGUUAAGUGCCUACCUUCUGCUCAAGUCAUGAUCCUGGAGCCCCGGGAUUGAGCUUUGCAUCAAGCUCCCUGCUGAGUGGGAAAUCUGCUUCUCCCUCUCCCUCUGCCUGCCACUCUUCCUGCUUGUGGUCUUUGUCUAAUAAAUAAAUAAAAUCUAAACAAAAACAAACAAAGAAAAAACCAAAAAACAAAAAGUGCAAAGUCUGGCAGAGUCCAACAGGAAAAACUCCUUCAAAUAGCUCAGGGACAUCGGGGCUAGGACAGUCCGUACUGGCAAAGAAGCUCUAGCUGCUGUGCUGGGAGAGGCUGGGAGCUGAAAGGGGCCACCAGUACCAAAACCAGGACCUGCCCGGAGCAACUUGGCUCCUGAAGCCAAACUAGAACAACUCUACCCCUGGGCCCAGGAAGCUUGCUUCCAAACCAGACCAAGCCAUGGAUGGGAAAAGAAUAACCCAGGAGUAAUUGGAAUGACUGAAUUAACAUAUUACAAAGUUUCCUCUUACCCAUGAAUUCAGAACUGCCCCCACAUUUAUUAUUGGGGUACAGGUACAAAACUAUGCAAUCUUUUAUCUGAUUACCAACUAGAACUGUACUAUUAAGAACUAUAGUCAACUGCAUUGUGUCCGUGCAGGCUGCUUCUUCAUCUGAAAAAAUAUUUGCUGGGAUACACCAAACCACACUGCAGCUGGUUCUUUCCACCAUUAUGACUCUGCCAGCCUGAGGUCAAGGGCAUCCCACAUUUCAGAAACUGUAUGAGGCCCAGGCUUGGGACACAGAACAACUAAGACAUUUCAGAAAGUAUUGCAUGUCUUUGAACCUCAGUUUCUUUGUCUGAAAAUGGGAAUGAUCAUAACUAUUUUUGAAGGUUAUCAUAAGAAUCAAAUGAGAUAUGUAGAAUAGUACCUAUUAAUAAACAAAUGAGCAUUAUUAUUAUUGUUACGUGUUUAGAUAUAAAUCCCUCCUCGAUCAGAAGUAAAGAAUUGCCCCAAUGAUUUAUUUCUAUUUUUGGUUUAAAUAUCUUGCUAGAAUUCUUCUUUACAGCCAAAUAAUAUUCCGCCGUAUGUUAUUUAUCCAUUCAUCAGAUGAUAGACAUUUGGGUUGUUUCUACGUUUUGACUAUUAUGAAUAAUACUACUAUGGACAUUUGUGCACAAGUUUUGUGUGGACGAGUGUUUUUCAAUUUUCCUCGGUAUACACAUAUAUAAAAGUGGGAUGCUGGAUCAUAUGGUAAUUCUAUGUCUAACUUUUUGAGGAACUGCCAGACUGUUUUCCAAAACAGAUGCACCAUUUUACAUUCCCACCAGCAGUAUAUGAAGGUUCUGAUUUCUCCGUAUCAGUAGUAUGUUUUUAAAGCAACCAAGGAGCCACUGAAAAUUGGGACAUUCAGCAUCCCCACCUCUUUCUUGGAGGGCAUCACAAGUUGGUAAAAAUCUGCUUCCCUUUCAUUUGUAAAAAUAGAGAUAGAACGAUAGGGGUUUGAUCAGUCUUUCUCCUAAUUUGUGGAGAUUUCUGGCAUGGCAAACACACCUUCCCCUCUGAUUUCAUCUUUUUAUCCUAGAAAUGAAAAUGGCAGAGACAGAAACUUCUCAUUAAAGUACCUAUUUGGUCCAACAUGAUAGGGAACAUACAAAACAUGGUAAAUAAUGGUAAGAAAUGUGGAUUCAAACCUAAGACUUUAGAACAUGUGAAAAGGCUCCACAUACAAUACAACCAUAUCUUUCACAAGCCUAUUUGAGGAUCAAAGGAACUCCCUUGGUUCCAAAGAGAGAGAUUCUCCUUGUCCUUCUUCCAGGCCUAAGAAAGCAAAGACCAGAGUGAUGAAGAAAUAAGCUGAGGAGCCAAGGUAGCUGUAACCAAAGGCCGUCCCAAAUUACCUAGAGUUCAGUGAUUUUUCAAACGGUUUUAAUAGAAAGAAGAACGAAAUAAAUAGCAUGCUCAAACUUCUCAUCAGAAGCCCAAACCAUCCUGCUCUGCAGCAAACUGCAUUCUUGGAGAGCAUCAUCAACCACGGCUGAAAUGGACUUUGGAUAUGAUGCAUGAGGCUGGCCAUAUUUUGAAUCUUAUGUCCACAUACGUUGAAUAGAAAGGUUCAAUUGGAGAGUUCUUUCAAGUGUAAAAUGUAAUUUUGUUGGUCAUAGCCCAAAAAAUCAUCAUGGUACAGAAUGACUAAUAGGAUGCUACAUCCUUUUUUUCCACAAUCAACUACAAGAGGGAAAAAAAAAAAAACCCAGUGGAAUAUUCUUUUAUGCGUUGCUUCCCCUAUGCAAUUCAAAGCACAAAGCAGUAGAGUAAUAAAAUUAAAUAU
Molecule: long non-coding RNA, 2421 nt
Filed under: Canis lupus familiaris (dog)
Lineage: Eukaryota; Metazoa; Chordata; Mammalia; Carnivora; Canidae
Description: lncRNA (ENSCAFG00845025732.1)
Source: RNAcentral